GCACUCAUAGCUCAAUUGGAUAGAGCAUUGGACUUCGAAUCCAAGGGUUGCAGGUUCGAGUCCUGCUGGGUGCG
This 74-nucleotide transfer RNA is filed under the name Borrelia salvatorii. RNAcentral describes it as "Borrelia sp. RT1S tRNA-Arg". It matches the Rfam family "tRNA". From Rfam's summary of the family: Transfer RNA (tRNA) molecules are approximately 80 nucleotides in length. The record is from RNAcentral. Lineage: Bacteria; Pseudomonadati; Spirochaetota; Spirochaetia; Spirochaetales; Borreliaceae. RNAcentral also lists the same sequence under 1 other name.